AUGCGAUUGCUGUACUCGAUCACCUGGGAUGGGAAAGAGCCCAUGUCAUUGGCCAUUCAAUGGGUUAAUCAAGCUCUUCUCAAGCUGAUCAAGGUAUCAGAAAUGAAGGUUGUCCAGCAUGAUUGGACUGACUUGCCUAACAAUAGCCCUGGUGAGUAUUUCCAUGCUCAGAAUGAUUUCCCGGUCUCAUUUAUUCAUUCUCUGAAGCAUUUGUGCAUGUUAGAGAAUCCCGAGAUCGACCUAGUCUUCAAACUUUUUGAUGAAAGGAUGACUCUAAAAUGAUGAAAGAAUUCAUUGUCUUAAUGACGCCUUAUGCAAACUAUGCUAAAUAUAAUUGGGAAUGCGGUGAAGUUCACAAAGCAAGGCUACGUAUCAGUUGUAGCUUCCAUUGCAAAACUAAAGUCUUUAGCGGAGUGGCAACCAACCGAUUUCCAUCCAGUCUUUAGCAAUGUCCACUUCUACCUGAGAGUGCAGGUUGAUGGCUUUUGCAGUUUAGCUUCAUUUAGCAUGUAUAGAUUGUCCUUUUGUGCAAAACUCCUUAUCUUCAGCUCUCUCUCUCUCUCUCUCUCUGUCUCUCUCUCUCUCUCUCUCUCUCUCUCUCUCUCUCUCUCUCUCUCUCUCUCUCUCUCUCUCUCUCUCUCUCGGCUUGCUAUAUAUUGCUUUGCUUCAUGUUCUCUUGCACUGAUAAAUUUGAAUUACAGCGCAUCCCAUAUCAGAAAACAUGGCUGUCUUUUGUAAAAAUCGAUCUGGGUUAUCAUUGUCUUAAUGACGCAACUGACUUGGAUUCUCAUAACAAGUUAAGGACUCUGGCUGUGGCAUACAGCCACAAGAUAUUUCUCAAAUAUUUACCAGAUUUAUUCAUCCUCGAAGUGGAUCUAAUCGAGGUAGUGGCGGUGUAGGACUUGUACUUGCUAUUUGCAAAAGGUAGAUUGCACACUGCUUAACGCUUUUGCUCAAAUUGCAACUUUCUUUUCUUGUGUAAGCAUAUAUGGUCGUUUGGACGCUUUACUGAUUACUAGUUCGUCAAGCAUAUGAAGCCCUAUUGUCUCAUGCACACUAAACUGUGAGUCAGAAUGUCCAACCUUGGGAGGGCUUCAAAUGAGUUCAGUUGAAUCAGGAAAGAUCUAUGGAUCUUUGAACCUUAAAUUUUAUGCUUCUCGAAGCAUAAUAUCAAAUAGCAGCCCUUGAGGUUGUGGAU
Syzygium oleosum is the source of this 1198-nucleotide long non-coding RNA. RefSeq lists it as uncharacterized. The transcript is spliced from 2 exons. NCBI's taxonomy places the organism in Eukaryota, Viridiplantae, Streptophyta, Magnoliopsida, Myrtales, Myrtaceae. The record is from RefSeq and is a predicted model, not a curated record.